UAUUCUUUAAAAAUAUUAAAGAUAAAUUCCUGUCUUGUAUCAAAAGGUCAAAAAGAUAAAAGCAUAAAAGUAACCUUAAGGACAUGCGGUAUCCGUAGUGUAGGCCCUCAAGGCAGCUGUGAACACAUAGCGUCAAAAGUGACAAGGUUGGGUGGGGUGGGGUUGGGGGGCCGACAGAUUCCCUAACCCCUUCCAUUACAUUAUUUAAUCUCACUGAAAAUCUUCAUAUCUAGAGGCCUGGUGGUUCUGACAACUGAGAGUAUUAUAUGUGGAAAGAGAAAGUAAAUUCAUGAAAGACAGAUUUUGAUUUUUCCUAAUUUUGAGAGAGUGGUUUUAUCCAUGAGAACCACAGUUAUAUGACAAUUGUUUAAUAAAAAAGAUCCAGCAGCAGAAUCUAACCCUCUACCUUCCCUCCUUUAGACGGUGAACGGAUUAGCUGUCCAAACUCUUAGGAGAAGGCAGAAUGGAUGGACAUGUCACACACAUUGUUCUCUGGGAAGGUUCUUCAUCUGGUGCUUCCAUGGGUGAAACUAAAGAAGAGGUGAUCUCUGUACAUGCUGGCUCUCCUUUACCAUCUGCCAUGAGUGGAAGCAGCCUGAGUCCCUCUCCAGAAGCAGAUUCUGGCACCAUGAUUCCUAUACAGCCUAUAGAGCUGUGAGCUAAAUGAACCUGCUUUCUUUGUAAAUUACUCAGCCUCAGGUCUCCCUUUUUAACAAUACAAAAACAGACUAAAACAAAAAGUCAUUGAUAUUAAUGUAUUAACAUAAGCACAUUUCUUAUAUCCUGUGCCUAAUAUAUAAUAUCUGCUCUAAAAAAUAGUUUUCUUUUACUAAUACUAAGAAGAUACUACAUUUAGUAAACAAUGGAGAUCCUGAGGCUAACAUCUGGCUGAGGGUGAUGAAAGAAACCUGCUAUGAUUAUGCCUGGUUCUGUGACAACCAGAGGCUCAGCCUGGGACACUGACUGUUCUCUCUGACCUCACAGAAAAGGCACUGCCGGUAUUCCUCUUGGCUUUCUCGGUGAGACAAUGAAGUGAGAAAGGAAGAAAGGAAAGAACAUGCCACAGUUGCUGUCACAGAGAAAAGGAAUGGAAAAUUGGUUGGACUGAGGGGAUAAAGAUGUACCUCUCGGGGACAC
RNAcentral lists this long non-coding RNA (1137 nucleotides) under Homo sapiens (human). RNAcentral describes it as "HSALNT0358884". Lineage: Eukaryota; Metazoa; Chordata; Mammalia; Primates; Hominidae. The record is from RNAcentral.